This 483-nucleotide ribosomal RNA is filed under the name uncultured bacterium. RNAcentral's name for it is "partial 16S ribosomal RNA". It matches the Rfam family "Bacterial small subunit ribosomal RNA", at positions 30 to 506 of the family's 1533-position model. The record is from RNAcentral.
AUUGAACGCUGGCGGCAGGCCUAACACAUGCAAGUCGAGCGGAUGAAGGGAGCUUGCUCCUGGAUUCAGCGGCGGACGGGUGAGUAAUGCCUAGGAAUCUGCCUGGUAGUGGGGGAUAACGUCCGGAAACGGGCGCUAAUACCGCAUACGUCCUGAGGGAGAAAGUGGGGGAUCUUCGGACCUCACGCUAUCAGAUGAGCCUAGGUCGAAUUAGCUAGUUGGUGGGGUAAAGGCCUACCAAGGCGACGAUCCGUAACUGGUCUGAGAGGAUGAUCAGUCACACUGGAACUGAGACACGGUCCAGACUCCUACGGGAGGCAGCAGUGGGGAAUAUUGGACAAUGGGCGAAAGCCUGAUCCAGCCAUGCCGCGUGUGUGAAGAAGGUCUUCGGAUUGUAAAGCACUUUAAGUUGGGAGGAAGGGCAGUAAGUUAAUACCUUGCUGUUUUGACGUUACCAACAGAAUAAGCACCGGCUAACUUCGU